ACGGCUCAGUAACACGUGGAUAACCUGCCCUCAGGUCCGGCAUAACCUCGGGAAACUGAGGAUAAUUCCGGAUAUCCCUUUUCUGCUGGAAGGCUUAAAGGGACAAAGAAUUUCGCCUGAGGAUGGGUCUGCGGCCUAUCAGGUUGUAGGGGGUGUAACGUACCCUCUAGCCGACAACGGGUACGGGUUGUGAGAGCAAGAGCCCGGAGAUGGAUUCUGAGACAUGAAUCCAGGCCCUACGGGGCGCAGCAGGCGCGAAAACUUUACAAUGCAGGAAACUGUGAUAAGGGAACACCGAGUGCUCGCAUCAAAUGCGGGCUGUCCACAUACCUAAAUCGUAUGUGUUAGCAAGGGCCGGGCAAGACCGGUGCCAGCCGCCGCGGUAAUACCGGUGGCCCGAGUGGUAGCCGCUUUUAUUGGGUCUAAAGGGUCCGUAGCCUGUCUGAUCAGUCCAUUGGGAAAUCCGGAUGCUCAACAUCCGGGCUUCCAGUGGAUACUGUCAGACUUGGGAUCGGGGGAGGUAAGAGGUACUACAGGGGUAGGAGUGAAAU
This 551-nucleotide ribosomal RNA is filed under the name uncultured euryarchaeote. RNAcentral describes it as "bacterial SSU rRNA". It matches the Rfam family "Archaeal small subunit ribosomal RNA", at positions 85 to 638 of the family's 1478-position model. Lineage: Archaea; Methanobacteriati; Methanobacteriota. The record is from RNAcentral.